RNAcentral lists this ribosomal RNA (450 nucleotides) under uncultured bacterium. RNAcentral describes it as "bacterial SSU rRNA". It matches the Rfam family "Bacterial small subunit ribosomal RNA", at positions 354 to 796 of the family's 1533-position model. The record is from RNAcentral.
GUGGGGAAUAUUGGACAAUGGGCGAAAGCCUGAUCCAGCCAUGCCGCGUGUGUGAAGAAGGUCUUCGGAUUGUAAAGCACUUUAAGUUGGGAGGAAGGGCAGUAAGUUAAUACCUUGCUGUUUUGACGUUACCGACAGAAUAAGCACCGGCUAACUUCGUGCCAGCAGCCGCGGUAAUACGAAGGGUGCAAGCGUUAAUCGGAAUUACUGUGCGUAAAGCGCGCGUAGGUGGUUCAGCAAGUUGGAGGUGAAAUCCCCGGGCUCAACCUGGGAACUGCCUCCAAAACUACUGAGCUAGAGUACGGUAGAGGGUAGUGGAAUUUCCUGUGUAGCGGUGAAAUGCGUAGAUAUAGGAAGUAACACCAGUGGCGAAGGCGACCACCUGGACUGAUACUGACACUGAGGUGCGAAAGCGUGGGGAGCAAACAGGAUUAGAAACCCGAGUAGUCC